CGGGUGUGUGUGCUGUCGCCCUUGGACGGGACAGCAGGACUGUUCUGCCUUCGGAAAUUGCAACCAAGCAAGCUGUAGCAAAGACGGCGCAAGGGAAAGGAAAGCGAGAGUGUUACUCACGCGGUGAACAAGGAAGUGCUGAAGAACAGUUGCAGAGGUGCGCUGCGAGGACCGAACAGACUCAUCACGACAGCAGAUGUCCCGGAAGAAUGAACUAUGUAGAGCAUCUCCUCAGUUGUUCUCUGGAAUUAUAAAGACGAGGUAAAAGAAAAUCUUGUAACAAACGUAGCUUUUCCAGAAAAAUGAUUAGAAGCUGUUCCCAAAGUUUAAAAUUCUCAGAAGCUGUUACUGUUCCUGUCAAAGGAAACGUGCCUUUCUCCAUCAUGGAGUGGAAUGUUUGAGAUAAAACAACUUAAUCAAAGGAAG
This 426-nucleotide long non-coding RNA is filed under the name Fukomys damarensis (Damara mole-rat). RNAcentral describes it as "lncRNA (ENSFDAG00000025404.1)". The record is from RNAcentral. Lineage: Eukaryota; Metazoa; Chordata; Mammalia; Rodentia; Bathyergidae.